AACGCGAAGAACCUUACCUGGUCUUGACAUCCACGGAAGUUUUCAGAGAUGAGAAUGUGCCUUCGGGAACCGUGAGACAGGUGCUGCAUGGCUGUCGUCAGCUCGUGUUGUGAAAUGUUGGGUUAAGUCCCGCAACGAGCGCAACCCUUAUCCUUUGUUGCCAGCGGUCCGGCCGGGAACUCAAAGGAGACUGCCAGUGAUAAACCGGAGGAAGGUGGGGAUGACGUCAAGUCAUCAUGGCCCUUACGACCAGGGCUACACACGUGCUACAAUGGCGCAUACAAAGAGAAGCGACCUCGCGAGAGCAAGCGGACCUCAUAAAGUGCGUCGUAGUCCGGAUUGGAGUCUGCAACUCGACACCAUGAAGUCGGAAUCGCUAGUAAUCGUGGAUCAGAAUGCCACGGUGAAUACGUUCCCGGGCCUUGUACACACCGCCCGUCACACCAUGGGAGUGGGUUGCAAAAGAAGUAGGUAGCUUAACCUUCGGGAGGGCGCUUACCACUUUGUGAUUCAUGACUGGGGUGAAGUCGUAACAAGGUAACCUUAAUUAAAA
RNAcentral lists this ribosomal RNA (553 nucleotides) under uncultured bacterium. RNAcentral's name for it is "bacterial SSU rRNA". It matches the Rfam family "Bacterial small subunit ribosomal RNA", at positions 958 to 1511 of the family's 1533-position model. The record is from RNAcentral.